AGCAUGCUCUAAAUGGCUCACAUUCCAGACCAAUCAGAAUGAGAUUUCGACUUUACUGAACAUUUCAAACGCCAACGACGGCGACUAAAUUGAAAUAAAUUUCUCAACUGUGUCUUUGACUUUUUUAGAUUUUUUCUUGCGAUUGCGAUUUUCGGCAUAUUUUAGCCGCUUAAAAUGUUUAUGUAAUUUUAUUUAGGUUUUAAUAAUUUUCUCAAGCUCCUAGACACAUUUUGAAAGAAUUUUAAAUAAUUUUUUUGUGAUAGUAUGUGGUUUUUGUUUAUCAUAUCAUAAAGAAAGCAAAAUCAUGGAUCCAGAGAGGAAAAAUAAAACAUGUGAAUAUUCAACAAAGAAUUUUUGACUAUCAACAAUUCGCUCGAUAAGCAUUUAACAAAUAUGCAUAACAUAAUAAUCAAACUGUUUUUAAUUUUAGGAACUUCAAAGAAUUUGGAACAUGGAAAUCACAGGGUCACUUAAGGUGAUAAUGAAACACAUUUGGAAAUUAUAAUAGAGCAAGGGUUUAGGAAGAUCAAGGCAGAUAAUUUUUUAGCAGAUACUACUAUAAUGCAUGAACCAAUAUUACGUGUGAAGAAGAAAAACCCAGAAUAUUACCUUAUAUAUAGCAUAUAAUUAAGAAUUGGAAUAUUCAGAGGAGGUGCGUGAAUACACAAAAUAAUAAAAGAAUUGAUGAAAUAAAGGUAAUGAAAACAAUGAUAAGAAGCUUAUUAAAAGAAACAAAUGUUAAGAAAUUUAAGGAAACCAGCGACAAUUAUUUUAAAUAUUUAGAAGACCAAGAUGAACUCAUAAUUUUAAGGUCUUUACAAAAGUAAGUAUUUAAAUAUAUAUGUAUUAUAGUAUUUACCAACCUCUUUUAAAGAUGACAUUAAUAAUCUACAUGUUUUACUAGUUAUUUUCAGUUUAAAUAUUUUAAUAAUUUAUGUAUAUAUCUUGUGAUUUGUAAUAAUUGAAGUUUUGAAUCAAAAACUCAUAAAUGUGCAAGUCGAGAAUUUUAAUCGUUUUAUCGAACAUAUUAAAAAUUUUGAAUGAGUUUCUUCUCAUAAUACCCAACCCACUAAAAAAGAGAAAAAGAUAAACAAACGUAUUACCACAGUAAAAAAUUACAUCGUUAGGGUUAAAAUACAAUAUAUAUUUUAAAUAAAACAUAGUCAAAUAUAUUUUUUAGAAUCCACUUAGUAUAAACAUAAUCACUGAACAAGUGUUAUUUUUUCUUUUUUGUCAGACCUAAGCCUGAAAAAGUGUAAAGGAAAAUGAAUUAUUUUAAAAUAUUACAAGAAAAUAUUGUAACGUGUGUGAAUUUUUAAUGUGAAUUAAUUACAAUUUUGAUUUAUUUUCAGUCUUUCAUUAACCUCAUUUAGCAUUGAGAAUAUAUUGAUUUUUAUCAAUAUUCAUCUCCAUGCAACACUUGAGCUGUUAUAGCAACCACCUAAAAUAUUUUUUAUUCAUUUUUUUGUUGCUCACUGUAUAAAUUUAUCGGAAAAUAAAAAAAAG
Long non-coding RNA from Diorhabda carinulata, 1506 nucleotides. RefSeq lists it as uncharacterized. The transcript is spliced from 3 exons. NCBI's taxonomy places the organism in Eukaryota, Metazoa, Arthropoda, Insecta, Coleoptera, Chrysomelidae. The record is from RefSeq and is a predicted model, not a curated record.